Long non-coding RNA from Acinonyx jubatus (cheetah), 1509 nucleotides. RefSeq lists it as uncharacterized. The transcript is spliced from 2 exons. The record is from RefSeq and is a predicted model, not a curated record. NCBI's taxonomy places the organism in Eukaryota, Metazoa, Chordata, Mammalia, Carnivora, Felidae.
CUGCGACAGGACACCAUGUUCGGUGGGGGUCCAGGUGAACUUCUAGAGUGUAAAAAAAGAAAAUGUGAUGGUCUACCUGUCUUGCGCGCAGGCUUGUGGUUUUCCUCCCCUUCACGUUUCUCUGUUAUAGGCUAACAGCCAUGGAAGCUUGGUAAAACCAAGGGCAGUGAUUUCCACCACUGGUCUUCAGAAUGGAUCCAAACGUACAAGGUCACUCAGCCCUGCCGCAUUUCUCAAAACGCAGAACAUGGCGGACACUCGCUUUCCCAGCCUACUGCGCAACCGUAGCUUGAUCACCUGACAUGGUCUAGCCAGUGGGAGGGGAGGGGAGGGGAGGUCCGACAAGGGGCUUCUGGGACAAGGUCUCCUUCCUGUUGUGCGGGCAAGAAUUGCCCUUCCGUCCAGCCACCUUUGAACACAACCGCCUGAAGUUGGAUGUCGGGGAAUAUGAUCUGGGAAAACUGUGAGGAAAAACUACAUGAGGUAGAGAAACCGAGCGGCUUCAUCAGCCAAACCUGCAACCAUCGACCUCUGGAUUCCCUGUGUGUGAGGUAAUUCACUGCCCUCGCUGUUUAGGCUCCUCAAAGUCCGGCGUUCUGCUCCUUGCGAAUGAAAGCAUCUCAAAUGGUAAGGCCACCUCUAGCAAUAGUGAGCAAAUGCCCACUUCCAACAAGGACCGUUCCUCCUGGGGAAGCAGGUAUUGUACAAAGGAGAUGAAUGCGGCAUGUCCGAGACGACCUUUAAAGUCCUUUACAACCCCAGGAUUUUAUCAUUUCUGUAGGUGAGGAACGUGGAAAUGCGCGUACAGAAAAAAAUACACACGACACACAUCAUCCUGUGGAAAACGUGUGUACCAUAAUAAAAAUUUUUUGUUAUUAUUAAAGUUUUUUAAAAAAAAUGGGGUGCCUGGGUGGCUCAGUCGGUUAAGCAUCUGACUUCGACUCAGGUCAUGAUCCUGCGGGUGUGAGUUCGAGCCCGGCAUCGUCAGGCUCUGUGCUGAUGGCUCAGAGCCUAGAGCCUGCUUUGUAUUCUGUGUCUCCUCCUCUCUCUGCCCCUCCCAUGCUCAUGCUCUCUCAAUAAUAAAUAAACAUUAAAAAAAAAUUUAAAAAAAUUAACACACUAUGCCAGAUCCAUAAGGUUUUUGUGUAGUUCAGCAGACAAGUAAUGUACAUCCAUAUAGUUCAACACUACGAACUUUAAAAUAAGGUGACUCAAACGUGACAAUAUGGAAAGAUCCCAAGGAUAUAUUACCAAUUAAAAAAUGCAGAUUCAGGAUGAGUAUAAAUGAACCAUGUUUAUAAAAAUACGUUUUAACAUUUUGAGAAGAAGGUGCCUGGGUGGCUUCAUCAGGUUGAGCGUGAGACUCUUGAUUUGGGCUCAGGUGAUGAUCUGAUGGUUCGUGACUUCAAGCCUCGGAUCAGGCUCUCUGCUGUCAGCUCAGAGCCUGCAGCCUGCUUCGGAUUCUCUCUCCCCCUCUCUCUGCCCCUCCCCCACUCAUACUUGCUCUCU